CCUACGGGCGGCUGCAGUGAGGAAUAUUGGUCAAUGGGCGGGACCCUUAACCAGCCAAGUCGCGUGAGGGACGACGGUCCUAUGGAUUGUACACCUCUUUUGUCGGGGAACAAAGGCGCCCACGGGUGGGCGGAUGAGUGUACCCGAAGAAAAAGCAUCGGCUCACUCCGUUCCAGCAGCCGCGGUACUACGGGGGAUGCGAGCGUUAUCCGGAUUUAUUGGGUUUAAUGGGUGCGUAGGCGGACAGUCAAGACAGCGGUAAAAAUGAGGUGCUAAACGCCGUACAGCCGUUGAAACUGGCAGUCUUGAGUGGGCGAGAAGAAUGCGGAAUGCGUGGUGUAGCGGUGAAAUGCAUAGAUAUCACGAAGAACUCCGAUUGCGAAGGCAGCAUUCUGGCGCCCGACUGACGCUGAGGCACGAAAGCGUGGGGAUCGAACAGGAUUAGAUACCCUUGUAGUC
RNAcentral lists this ribosomal RNA (459 nucleotides) under uncultured bacterium. RNAcentral describes it as "partial 16S ribosomal RNA". It matches the Rfam family "Bacterial small subunit ribosomal RNA", at positions 338 to 795 of the family's 1533-position model. The record is from RNAcentral.